Molecule: ribosomal RNA, 468 nt
Filed under: uncultured bacterium
Lineage: Bacteria
Description: partial 16S ribosomal RNA
Rfam family: Bacterial small subunit ribosomal RNA
Source: RNAcentral
GACGAACGCUGGCGGCGUGCUUAACACAUGCAAGUCGAACGGAAAGGCCCUGCUUUUGUGUGGUGCUCGAGUGGCGAACGGGUGAGUAACACGUGAGUAACCUGCCCUUGACUUUGGGAUAACUUCAGGAAACUGGGGCUAAUACCGGAUAGGAGCUCCUGCUGCAUGGGGGGGGUUGGAAAGUUUCGGCGGUUGUGGAUGGUCUCGCGGCUUAUCAGCUUGUUGGUGGGGUAGUGGCUUACCAAGGCUUUGACGGGUAGCAGGCCUGAGAGGGUGACCGGCCAAAUUGGGACUGAGCUACGGCCCGGACUCGUACGGGAGGCAGCAGUGGGGAAUAUUGCACAAUGGGCGGAAGCCUGAUGCAGCAACGCCGCGUGCGGGAUGAAGGCCUUCGGGUUGUAAAACGCUUUCGCCUGUGACGAAGCGUGAGUGACGGUAAUGGGUAAAGAAGCCCCGGCUAACUACGUG